GGUAUUGAUCCAGCGUCAGGUGCUUGCCGUUAGGUGAGAGAAUCGGGAAGCCGGCGAAAAUCCGGCACGUGCCCAACGCUGUGAGGCGGACUUGAUGCGCAAGGGGAAACCCGGCCACUGGAGCGAUCCGGGAAGGCGCGCGUCCUGGAUGAUGCCCAGUCAGAAGACCGGCCUGGCGAGAUAGACCUUU
RNAcentral lists this non-coding RNA (190 nucleotides) under Agrobacterium albertimagni. RNAcentral also lists the same sequence under 1 other name. The record is from RNAcentral. Lineage: Bacteria; Pseudomonadati; Pseudomonadota; Alphaproteobacteria; Hyphomicrobiales; Rhizobiaceae.